CUGAGCUGAGCACCCUUCUGACCCAGCACAUCACACUGGGCCCACACCCUGGGACUCUGGGCCCUUGGCUCCUGAAGUCACCUGAACAGGGAAGAAGCCCUGUACCCUUCGCAGUCAUCUUCAACCUCCCUCCUUCCCCAGCUCUCAGCAGCAGCUGCUCUAUUUCCUAUAUCUAUGGACUCACCUAUUCUAGGCUCUCCAUUUAACCAAAAUGCUCCAUGGAAUGAGGCCUGAGAACUUCAUUUACUGAUAGACUAGGAACAAGACCUCGGAUCACCAGAACACCCAUAUGUGGGGCCAGCAGUGACCGCAGGCGGUCCUUACUUCCGGAAGUGUAACCUCUCUGUGAGACCUGCCCAGAGCCCAGAGUGGCCCGUAUGUCCCUUGGCUGGAGGGAACUGAUGACAGGAGGUUGCUCAGAGCAGUGACAGAAGAGGAAACAUGGCAGUGGGACCAGUGCCAUCCGGGGAGUUACUCCUCCAUCCUUCGAACUGGGAAAAGGAAAGAAAAGGAAGAAAGCGAGAAAAGAAAAGGCAAGGGGGAAAGCCCUCAAGACAAAGAGACAGGCACCAUCUGGGCAACAGGAAGGGAAGAAAUGCCACUGUCUGGAGUCGGGCUCUGGGGAAGCCGCGAUGGAGGGGCAGGGCCCAGGGUGGCUGGGCUGGAAGAGCUCCGUGUUGCUGGGUCUGGCUCAAGUCCAGGCCUCAUCAUUUACUUGGCUCUGGAGUCUUGGGCAGGUGACAGGGGCCGGGGUGCUGUGCCUCUGUUUCCCCGUCUGGGAAAAGGCGAUUUCACACCAGUGCCCUGGGGUUGCUGGGAGACCUGCCGGGGCAGCGUGGACAUUGCUGGGCCUGUCACUGCCCCUAGGGUCCCCGCUCUCCUGUAAUUCCUGCUGCAUCUCCGGGUGGUGAGGGGACCCGGAGGCUGAGUGGGUGGUGCUGCGGAUAUGCCUUCCUCCCACGGGAGGCAGCCCCUGUCUGUCCCGGCUCUGCCUGGCCCCUUCUCGGGGUGCUCGGCUUCCCCAAGGUGGUCGGACUCUACCUCCCAGGGCUGGUGCUCUCAUUCCUGCCUUUGCUACCCUAAGUGGGCAGCAACAAAGGCAACGUAGAGAGUGAGGUAUGGGGAUGACCCCGGGAAUGUUAACAAGAGAACUUAGUGCGGCUGAGCUGUGCACCCUGCUCUAUUAUCCAUCUUCUUGACACUGUGCUGCAGCAGUGACUGGGACGCCCCUUUUACAGAUGGAAGCAUGGAGGCCCAAACUCAGCCCCAGCCUGUGCUUCUUGCAGGCUGUGAAGAGGACUUUGGCUGAGGCUCCUGCCUAUGGCCUUUCUGCCUAGGGAUACUUGAGCCACAUCCCAGCCUGUGGAGCAGCCCCUAGGCCCCUUCCCUACCCAGGGAAGGUACCUAGCAGUACUUGAGUGUGAAGAUUCCCAACAGAGCCCUGCUCUAGGCAGAUGGGCCUGGGGCUCACUGGCAAGAAGCUGGGGUGUGUGGGUGUGUCUCUGUCCCACCAUCUGGAAGAACCUGCUUCAGAGCACAGUGGCCCUAGGCACAAGCUAGAAAACAUCACCGGUCCAGGAUGGGCAGGCAAAGCUCCAGAGUCUCUGGAAAUGCUCCGGCUGCCUUUGGGAUGCUCUCCCCGGGCCCACCUUGGACCUGUGGCCCUAGUCCCUCUGGUGUCUGUGAGGGCCUAGGGAGGUGCUAGAAGCUCUUGGCCUGGCCCCAGUUCUGCCCUGUGCCCCCGGGGGUUUAACUCUGUCCCGAGGUAGACACUGCGGUUUUAAUUAUAGCGCAGAGCAAAGCCUUGUGUAAUGCUGGGUGAUUCAUCUUUCUAACCUUGGCUCCUGGGUGGGGUCUGAGGACCUCAGCACCUGUCUGGAGUGAAAAGGAGGAGGUCAGAGGGGACAAGAGAUUCUCUUGGCUUCCUCAGACUUCCCCAAAACACCUCCCUUGCUUGAUCAUUCCUUGCAUCCGAGAGACUCUUGCCUCACUUUCAGUCAGGUGAAGCAGAAGCCAGGCUGGGGGCUUCUCGCUGGAAGCUGUGGGCUGUGAGUUCGAGACUUCGCUCACCUUAGAGUUUCUAUGUGACCGGCAGCAACACCCUGGCUCCGUGGGCCUCAGUUUCCACACUUAUCCAAGGGGGCUUGUGUGUUUUGUCCCCUGGUUGUCCCUAAAGGUGUCAUGAAGGUUAAAUAUUUGUGACCUGUGCCUAAUUUACUUCUGCUUAUGCUUCCCAGAAGCCCUCGCCUGGAUGACUUUUGCUCAUAACCUGCCGCUGGGGAGGGAACUCUGGAGCAUUGGCAGGGACCCUGGCGGGGUCUGAAUGUUGCUAAACCUGGCAGGCACAGGGAAGGUACCUAGCAGGUGGUGGCUGAAUGAAAGACACCUUCCCUGGGGUGAACAUUUUGGAAUGUGACCCAACCAAGGUCACACAGCCAGCGGCUGUGAUGUGUGGACCCUGAGGGGGAGUGACACAGGCCCCCAUUGUGCAAUCUGUAUGCACAUGUCCAGGGGCAGGGGCUGGGAUUAGCACCCAGGGGCACAGGGCCACCAGGAGAGGCCUCCUGCUCCUGGGAGGCUGGGCAGGCCACUACCGGGCCAGCAGUCCUCAAGGGCAGGGCUGGUGAGAAACUGACACCCCGAACACUUGGUCCUGUCACUCCCGGGGGAUUUGGUGAGUGGGUGGGUCACUUGUCGGGUACAUGCUGUGCUGGGCAGCUGGGAGGUAGUGGACUUGGGACAUUCUUUAUGAGCCUGACACCGUGGGAUAGGAGGAUAUGGUAUACAUCAGUCACUUCAUAAGUGUUCACUUGUUUUUGUAUUUAUUUGUUUUUUGAGGCAGGGUUUCACCGUGCACUGCAGGCUGGCCUUGAACUUGCUCG
Chinchilla lanigera (long-tailed chinchilla) is the source of this 2882-nucleotide long non-coding RNA. RefSeq lists it as uncharacterized. The record is from RefSeq and is a predicted model, not a curated record. NCBI's taxonomy places the organism in Eukaryota, Metazoa, Chordata, Mammalia, Rodentia, Chinchillidae. The transcript has 4 exons.